Long non-coding RNA from Polistes dominula (European paper wasp), 197 nucleotides. The record is from RefSeq and is a predicted model, not a curated record. Lineage: Eukaryota; Metazoa; Arthropoda; Insecta; Hymenoptera; Vespidae.
GAAAAAAAAGCGAAAGUACUGUGAUUCUAUAAAAGAACUGCUCUUCCUUUAAUUAACAUUUUCUCCAUCUUCUUUUCUAAAUGGUCUUCUAACCUAAACGAAUAUGAAUCUGGUUCGUUGGAAAGUUCAUUCUGUCAAAAAACCACUGUAUAAUAAUUGGAAGGGCGUACUCAUGACUUUGAGACUAUGUUCUAGCG